AUUCAAGUUCAAAUUAAAAUUUAAAAUUAUAUAUUUAAUUUCUGAAUUUAAACUCAUAUUUUAAUUAAAAAAAGUUGAAAAAAUAAAUUUAAUUCGAAUAAAUAUCCAUUCCGUCCGAAUUCCACUUCUAAUCCGGCCUCCUAGGCCGGAUUUGAAAAAUAGGUGAUUGGGAGAUUUCCAUUCUACUCGGGAAUCGGAAUCGAAAUAGGACUCCCGCAUACCAAACACCACAAACAGAUUCGUUCAUUCCGAUCCCGAUUCCGAUUUCGGGGUGAAAAAGAAGCGAACCAAACAUGCCCUAGGACUUUUGCAGGAAUAACUUAUAAAAAUUGAACUUUGUAGGAAUAUAACUGCAAUUCAUUAUGUUUGCGAAAAUAUGUAUAAAAUUAACCUUUAUUUUUAUUACAAAUUGGACGGUGGAGCGGAAAAUUUAAGAUGGAUGAAAAGGUGACAUAUUUU
RNAcentral lists this long non-coding RNA (459 nucleotides) under Ananas comosus (pineapple). RNAcentral's name for it is "long non-coding RNA (ACOM_LNC021335)". The record is from RNAcentral. Lineage: Eukaryota; Viridiplantae; Streptophyta; Magnoliopsida; Poales; Bromeliaceae.